RNAcentral lists this ribosomal RNA (468 nucleotides) under uncultured bacterium. RNAcentral describes it as "partial 16S ribosomal RNA". It matches the Rfam family "Bacterial small subunit ribosomal RNA", at positions 28 to 507 of the family's 1533-position model. The record is from RNAcentral.
GACGAACGCUGGCGGCGUGCUUAACACAUGCCAGUCGAACGGAAAGGCCCUGCUUUUGUGGGGUGCUCGAGUGGCGAACGGGUGAGUAACACGUGAGUAACCUGCCCUUGACUUUGGGAUAACUUCAGGAAACUGGGGCUAAUACCGGAUAGGAGCUCCUGCUGCAUGGUGGGGGUUGGAAAGUUUCGGCGGUUGGGGAUGGACUCGCGGCUUAUCAGCUUGUUGGUGGGGUAGUGGCUUACCAAGGCUUUGACGGGUAGCUGGCCUGGGAGGGUGACCGGCCACAUUGGGACUGAGAUACGGCCCAGACUCCUACGGGAGGCAGCAGUGGGGAAUAUUGCACAAUGGGCGGAAGCCUGAUGCAGCAACGCCGCGUGCGGGAUGACGGCCUUCGGGUUGUAAACCGCUUUCGCCUGUGACGAAGCGUGAGUGACGGUAAUGGGUAAAGAAGCACCGGCUAACUACGUG